GUGGGGAAUUUUGGACAAUGGGCGCAAGCCUGAUCCAGCAAUGCCGCGUGCAGGAAGAAGGCCUUCGGGUUGUAAACUGCUUUUGUACGGAACGAAACGGUCCUGGCUAAUAUCCGGGGCUAAUGACGGUACCGUAAGAAUAAGCACCGGCUAACUACGUGCCAGCAGCCGCGGUAAUACGUAGGGUGCGAGCGUUACUCGGAAUUACUGGGCGUAAAGCGUGCGCAGGCGGUGCUGUAAGACAGGCGUGAAAUCCCCGGGCUCAACCUGGGAAUUGCGCUUGUGACUGCAGUGCUGGAGUGCGGCAGAGGGGGAUGGAAUUCCGCGUGUAGCAGUGAAAUGCGUAGAUAUGCGGAGGAACACCGAUGGCGAAGGCAAUCCCCUGGGCCUGCACUGACGCUCAUGCACGAAAGCGUGGGGAGCAAACAGGAUUAGAAACCCUAGUAGUCC
RNAcentral lists this ribosomal RNA (450 nucleotides) under uncultured bacterium. RNAcentral's name for it is "partial 16S ribosomal RNA". It matches the Rfam family "Bacterial small subunit ribosomal RNA", at positions 354 to 796 of the family's 1533-position model. The record is from RNAcentral.